This 1231-nucleotide ribosomal RNA is filed under the name human gut metagenome. Its description in RNAcentral is "bacterial LSU rRNA". It matches the Rfam family "Bacterial large subunit ribosomal RNA", at positions 1127 to 2387 of the family's 2925-position model. The record is from RNAcentral.
AGAGUGCGUAAUAGCUCACUAGUCGAGAGGUCCUGCGCCGAAAAUGUCCGGGGCUAAAACACAACACCGAAGCUUAGGAAUUCUAAUGAAUUGGUAGAGGAGCAUUGAAGACGGAACGAAGCCAUACCGAAAGGAAUGGUGGACUGUCUUGAAGAGAGAAUGCCGGAAUGAGUAGCGAGAUUGAAGUGAGAAUCUUCAAGGCCGAAUAUCUAAGGUUUCCAGGGUAAAGCUGAUCUGCCCUGGGUAAGUCGGGGCCUAAGGCAAGGUCGAAAGACGUAGUCGAUGGAUAACAGGUUGAAAUUCCUGUACUGCAUCAAAUCAGAAAUGUGGGGACACAUGAGGGAAGCAUGAGCCGGAAAAGGAAAGUCCGGUACAAGCGCAGCAGAGGACAGAUAGGCAAAACCGUCUGUCAACUCGAGGGCGUGAUGUGGAGCGAACCAAAGUAGCGAAGCAUGUGGAGCUUGUGUCGAGAAAAGCCGCUAUAGUGUUUGAUGUACCCGUACCGUAAACCGACACAGGUGGAUGAGGAGAGAAUCCUAAGGCCGGCGGGAGAAGCAUUGUUAAGGAACUCGGCAAAAUGACCCCGUAACUUCGGGAGAAGGGGUGCUCCAGAGAUGGAGCCGCAGAGAACUGGCCCAAGCAACUGUUUAGCAAAAACACAGGUCUAUGCAAAACCGAAAGGUGAGGUAUAUGGGCUGACGCCUGCCCGGUGCUGGAAGGUUAAGAGGAGAGGUUAGCGCAAGCGAAGCUUUGAAUUUAAGCCCCAGUAAACGGCGGCCGUAACUAUAACGGUCCUAAGGUAGCGAAAUUCCUUGUCGGGUAAGUUCCGACCCGCACGAAAGGCGUAAUGAUUUGGGCACUGUCUCGACAAUGCACCCGGUGAAAUUGAAAUACCAGUGAAGAUGCUGGUUACCUGCGCCAGGACGGAAAGACCCCAUGGAGCUUUACUCUAGCUUGAUACUGGGGUUCGGUAUUGCAUGUACAGGAUAGGUGGGAGACUGAGAAGAUGUGUCGCCAGAUGCAUCAGAGUCGAUGUUGGGAUACCACCCCUGCAGUACUGGGCUUCUAACCUGCAGCCGUGACCCGGCUGGGGGACAAUGUCUGGUGGGGAGUUUGACUGGGGCGGUCGCCUCCGAAAGAGUAUCGGAGGCGCUCAAAGGUUCCCUCAGAAUGGUUGGAAACCAUUCGAAGAGUGCAAAGGCAGAAGGGAGCUUGACUGCGACACCGACGG